UAGGGAAUUUUCGUCAAUGGGCGCAAGCCUGAACGAGCAAUGCCGCGUGAGUGAGGAAGGCCUUCGGGUCGUAAACUUCUUUUAUCAGGGACGAAGGAUGUGACGGUACCUGAUGAAUAAGCUCCGGCUAACUACGUGCCAGCAGCCGCGGUAAUACGUAGGUGGCGAGCGUUAUCCGGAAUGAUUGGGCGUAAAGGGUGCGUAGGCGGCCUGUUAAGUCUGAAGUGAAAGGUACCGGCUCAACCGGUACAGGCUUUGGAAACUAGCAGGCUGGAGGACAGGAGAGGGCGGUGGAACUCCAUGUGUAGCGGUAAAAUGCGUAGAUAUAUGGAAGAACACCAGUGGCGAAGGCGGCCGCCUGGCCUGUUACUGACGCUGAGGCACGAAAGCGUGGGGAGCAAAUAGGAUUAGAUACC
Molecule: ribosomal RNA, 416 nt
Filed under: uncultured bacterium
Lineage: Bacteria
Description: bacterial SSU rRNA
Rfam family: Bacterial small subunit ribosomal RNA
Source: RNAcentral